Long non-coding RNA from Oreochromis aureus, 427 nucleotides. The record is from Ensembl. Lineage: Eukaryota; Metazoa; Chordata; Actinopteri; Cichliformes; Cichlidae.
GUGGAUACAGCCGACUGUACACGAAUGCGUCUGACAUACAGCACAAUGUAAAAGAGGUGUUUUCUACAGAGAGGGUUUCACAGAGUGCCUGUAAGUAGCAGCUCCAUCUUCUCUUCCUUGUGUGUGUACCCUCUGCAAGAGCCGGGGGCACAUACUAUAUGUGUAUGUGAGAUGAGGAGGAGCUAAGUGGCUACCACAACCACCUAGAUCAGACAGCCUCCUGUGCUGCAAGAUGGAUUAGAGCCCCACACCUCAGGAGAUCAAAGGUGGCUGUGACAGGGGCACCCCCGGGGCAGGACCCAUGAGGAGUCAUAGAAGAUGCUCACAGCCUGGGCGCUUCUGCUCUUCUUAGCCAUGUGGGUGAGAAGCACCUUUGGUGGCCCGCUCUCCUUUCGAAUAGGUAAAUUGCAAAACAUAAUGGCUUCCA